This 460-nucleotide ribosomal RNA is filed under the name uncultured bacterium. RNAcentral describes it as "partial 16S ribosomal RNA". It matches the Rfam family "Bacterial small subunit ribosomal RNA", at positions 338 to 795 of the family's 1533-position model. The record is from RNAcentral.
ACUACGGGAGGCAGCAGUGAGGAAUAUUGGUCAAUGGGCGGAAGCCUGAACCAGCCAAGUAGCGUGCAGGAUGACGGCCCUACGGGCUGUAAACUGCUUUUAUACGGGAAUAACGCGCCUUACGUGUAGGGCUUUGCAUGUACCGUAUGAAUAAGGACCGGCUAAUUCCGUGCCAGCAGCCGCGGUAAUACGGAAGGUCCGGGCUUUAUCCGGAUUUAUUGGGUUGAAAGGGAGCGUAGGCCGCAUGUCAAGCGUGCUGUGAAAUGUCCGGGCUCAACCCGGGCCUUGCAGCGCGAACUGGCGUGCUUGAGUCCGCGGAAAGCAGGCGGAAUUCGUCGUGUAGCGGUGAAAUGCUUAGAUAUGACGAAGAACCCCGAUUGCGAAGGCAGCUUGCUGCAGCGGAACUGACGCUGAUGCUCGAAAGCGCGGGUAUCGAACAGGAUUAGAUACCCUUGUAGUC